GGAGACGUGUCAGAGCGGUCUAACGUACCUCUUUGCUAAAGAGGCAGGGGUGUCAAAGCCCCUCGCGAGUUCGAAUCUCGCCGUCUCCGCCA
This 92-nucleotide transfer RNA is filed under the name Minisyncoccota bacterium. RNAcentral describes it as "tRNA-Ser". It matches the Rfam family "tRNA". Rfam says of the family: Transfer RNA (tRNA) molecules are approximately 80 nucleotides in length. Their secondary structure includes four short double-helical elements and three loops (D, anti-codon, and T loops). The record is from RNAcentral. Lineage: Bacteria; Bacillati; Minisyncoccota.